GUCUACGGCCACGCCACCCUGAACAAGCCCGAUCUCGUCUGAUCUCGGAAGCUAAGCAGGGUCGGGCCUGGUUAGUACUUGGAAGGGAGACCACCUAGGAAGACCAGGUGCUGUAGGCG
RNAcentral lists this ribosomal RNA (119 nucleotides) under Pteropus alecto (black flying fox). Lineage: Eukaryota; Metazoa; Chordata; Mammalia; Chiroptera; Pteropodidae. The record is from RNAcentral.